CUUUUGUUUUGGUUUGUCUGCAUCUUUCUUUUUCCUUUCUUUUCGAAAACUCCUCCCUUUCUCUCUUCUUCUUCCCCGUGACAACACACACACACACACACAAAUACCCACAGUCGCACAACUCAGGGAGAGUCACCAUCAUCGCCGUUGAACUGCUUCUCUCUCUCUCUUUCUCUCUCCCCUGCUCGCGGUGCCGGAGUACGCCGAGCAUCUCCGGCGAAUUUUAGCUUGUUUUCCGGUUGGGUUUUGGAGUGUUUUUGGCAAGGGUGGAGGUACACCCAAUUUUCCGGCGAGUGCGUGUUUUCCGAGGGAUUUUCCGGCCACCACAAGCCGUUUCACGGCGAACCCAAGAUUUCCUUUUUUUGGGAAAUUGACGUGCUUUUCCCAUUCAUCGCCUAAACAAACCCAUGCUUCCUCCAUCUUCGUCUUCUCCUCUCGCAGUUUGCGCUCUUAGUUCUCAAUUGAAUUCACAGUAAACACCCAGAAACAUAAAGGUACGAAAAAUUCCUUUUUUUUUAUUUUUUAUUUUUAAAUUUUAGUUUUUAUUAAUUUAUUCGCAAAGGAAAUCAGCUGAUAGCAAUAUUGCCAAUUAGUUAUAGAAGUUGUAUAUUUUGUAUGCAGAAAUUCAAAGCACGCAGAGAUCUCGAGUCAAAAACAGAGGUACCCAUCCCUUUUUGUUCGAUUUUUGCUUCGUUUUUAUCUCUGUUUUCGUUUUUGGGUAGGAUUUUGUGCUUUAUAAUUGGGUAUAAUGUGAAAAUUUUGAAGCAGCUAAAUCUUAUUCAAUCAUGUUUGAUUGAUUGUUUAUCUAGGGUUUCUUCUAUUUUGCUUGGUAGGUUUAAAUUGAUUUGGGUUUAUAUUUGAUUGCGAGUUAACUAAUUUUUUAUUAGUUGUAAAUCAUAUUGGUUGCAUAUCAUGAAACAAUUUCAUGUUUGGUUUAAGAGAAUAGACUUGAUUCAAUGAGAUUUGGACUCAUCAGUUACAACCAUCUGAGAUAGGCAAGAGUGUUGGCAUUCUUUAGAAAAAAUUUAGGAGCUACAAAACUAUGCUUUAAAUUUGAGUUAUGUGAUUACUAUUUUAUCUAUUCAUCUUACUAAGAUUUUGGUAAAAUUUCAGGGAACUCUUGCACAGUGAAAUGACUCCCACCACCAAAAAACGCAACUGCUGCAAUUUCGAUUGCAGUUCUUGAAGAAAGGUAAAGCUGCUAUGUUUCUGUACAAAGUCUUCAAUUUUUUAUAUGGGGUUUCAUUUUUUGUGCUUUUUUUUUCUCUCUUGAGAAUAUUAAUAUUGUUGUUAGUUAUUAAAUUCGACUAUUGCAUAGGUUAAAUUUUACUUCAAAUUGUAGUAGUUGUCAUACAAGUUUAUAUUUUUGUAUAGAAUUGCAGACAGUUUGAAUUUUGGAUGAGAGUUUAGAAUAUUUAUAAGUUGGUUCUGUUGUCGGAUCUCCAUAUAGCAAAUUAUCCUACUCUGUAUUUCAAAAAUCGUAGGUUGUCCACUCUAGCUAUACAAUUCUUCCAUGUAUGCUUUCACUGAUUGAUAUAAAAUCAUACAUGAAUUUUCUCAUUCAAA
This is a long non-coding RNA of Pyrus x bretschneideri (Chinese white pear), 1566 nucleotides long. RefSeq lists it as uncharacterized. NCBI's taxonomy places the organism in Eukaryota, Viridiplantae, Streptophyta, Magnoliopsida, Rosales, Rosaceae. The record is from RefSeq and is a predicted model, not a curated record. The transcript has 3 exons.